This 1251-nucleotide long non-coding RNA is filed under the name Equus asinus (donkey). Its description in RNAcentral is "lncRNA (ENSEASG00005026268.1)". The record is from RNAcentral. Lineage: Eukaryota; Metazoa; Chordata; Mammalia; Perissodactyla; Equidae.
AGAGAGCUCUUGUAAGUUUGGGCGUCUCAUCUUUCUUAAGUCUCAAGACAGGCUGAAAAGUUCUUUUCUUUUGACAGAAACUAGAAAGCGCUAGUAAGACUUCCAGCCCUCCCUUAGGCGGAGGACUCUGUGAGAGGAGGGUUUGAGGUCACAGAAAGCCAGCUUUGAGGAGGUAGAAGCAAAAUGGGGUCUACUCACAAAGACAGGUUUUCCGAGGUCUUUUGUUUGACAUGGAAAAAUGAGAGAGACACAACAGGUUGGUGGCUGGAAACUGAGUCUGAAUUUAAGACAGCAGCCUCUAGGUGGCGCACACACCGUAAUAAAUACCUUGAAGAGAGGAGAUUUCAUCUGCGAAUGGAGCUUCCCGGCUCACUUCAGAAGCACGGGAGCUUUUUAGACAAGCUACUCCCCACUGCAGCAGAAAGACAACCCCCAAAUCUAAACCCUCUGCAUCCAAUUUAAAGAAGGCAGAGCUUCGAUCAUCUCGAUGACAAUGGAGGGAGGACACCACAUCUACCUAAGGAUCAUGGAGCCAUCAGCUUGGCCUUUUCCGCCAAGAGAGAGAGAGCGCUGGAGGAGAGGCCCCAGGGGAGGCAGAAGAUGCCCACCUGCAGAUGCGUGGAAACAUAUGGGAUCAGCAUCCGCAGCGCUCCUGCUGGUGCACUAAACAGGGGCAUUAACCUAAUGCUGCCAUGGAGGACUUUUGUCUUUUCUCUGGCAGAAGGAGCAGCUCACAUCCAGAGCCAACAAGUUGGAGAAAUGGCUUCUCUUGGCGAUUAGGCCUAAUGGUGGAAUUGUUAGACCGCUACAGCUGCAGGGGGCUUUCCUCUCUCAUCCCGGCUCUCCUCCGUUUGCUGUCCUGGAAACAUUUACUGAUUAUUAAAGAAUCACGUGGGUUUGAUUUUUCUCCAAAUAAAAGACCAAGGGUUAUCAGCCACGUCCUCAGUGUGUGACAGCCCCCUGGGAAGGUUCUGAACAGGAUGAAUUGUCUAAACUGCCUGAAGAUCUGAAGUGGGAGAGGUGGAUUACCUGGUGUCCUCGCCUUGCCCUCUUGGCACUUCCUUGCUCUCUAAGCUCCAUGCAAUUGGUCCCAUCCUUAUUCUCAGCCAAGACCCCUACUUCCAGCACAAGUCCUAUCCUACAGGUAGGAUUCAGUGUCCCGGCUGAGAUGGGGACAAACCUCAUCCCAAAGUCAUGCAAAGAGGGGAGGGUUUAAUCCCCAGCAGUGUAGAGAGGAUCUGCUGCAUGGCA